AUGGAGAGACUUGUUAAUGUUCAUUACAUUGACAAGGAGGCAUUCUUGAGUAACAAUGCCGACACGGGUGAGGAACCAUUGGUUUUUGAUACAAGCCCUAGCUAUGAGGAUGUUGUUGCAAAAGUGAGACAAGUCUUGAAGUGGAUGGACACCAAUGUUGAUGUUAAGUUAAUAGGAAGGUAUGAAUUUGGAGUUGGAUCCAAAUCUCGCUUGAAAAGUAUGCCUAUCACCUCGGAUUUGCAUUGGGAUGUAUACAAGGAAAAAGUAUCCCAAUCGGAAGACAAGUCACUUGAAUUGUUUGCCACCAAGGUUGAAUCUCCUCGGUUUACCUUUGAUUUGAACCGGCAUGUCUCUUCCCCAAUGGAUGACAUGAGCGUUGAGUUGUAUGCCCCCAAUGCUUCUAGCCAACCACCAACUGGCCAAGCAAAUGAAGUUGAGGUGAUUGCUAGUGACGGAGUAAUUUAA
This 465-nucleotide ribosomal RNA is filed under the name Triticum aestivum (bread wheat). RNAcentral describes it as "partial small subunit ribosomal RNA". The record is from RNAcentral. Lineage: Eukaryota; Viridiplantae; Streptophyta; Magnoliopsida; Poales; Poaceae.